AAGAAUGGGUACUGGCCUGCAACUGUCAACUGUGACACCAUAUACCAUGUAGAUCUGUUCAGCUCUUUUGAGGAGCUGAAAGUGUCAGCCCCAGGAAUGUCCCGUCCGGCGUUUAUGUGGAUUUUGGAGCAACGUACUGACUACUUUGGCAGGAACAGAAUGAUCUGUGGGGACACUUUUCAAAAGAGCUUCGAGUGGACGUACUGCCGCUCUGAAAUUGAUCAGGUCUGUGAUAUACAGUACUUUGACUGCCCAGCCUGUUCACCCAGCAUGCUUGCAGUGUCUGGAUGGGAACAAGAAGCUGUAUCAAUUCAAAAAAGGCCAUCACCCCGGAUUAAAAAAGAGAAGUGAAUAAGUGAAUCUCUCCUAAUGGAUAUUCCUGAAAGCAACCGGACAUAAGUGAUUGGGAAGCGACUGUUAGACGUAGAUUCUCAGAAGCAAACUGCGCCCUGUCCUUUACGUAGUCCUUCACGAUCACACAAUUUUCGGCGUAAGUCCAUAUAAUUAAUCACACACCCAAGAAUAUUUAUAUAUUAAAACGAAAAGUGUGCACUCUGAACGACUUCGUAAGACACCAGGCAGCAGUCCCAGGACAGAUAACAUAGUCUGUGAAGCCCUCCUAAUGGAUAUUUCUGGAGCUGAGUAAGUGAAAAAUAUAUUUUAAGUUUUGUUUGAAUA
Oncorhynchus gorbuscha (pink salmon) is the source of this 678-nucleotide long non-coding RNA. RefSeq lists it as uncharacterized. The transcript is spliced from 3 exons. Lineage: Eukaryota; Metazoa; Chordata; Actinopteri; Salmoniformes; Salmonidae. The record is from RefSeq and is a predicted model, not a curated record.